RNAcentral lists this ribosomal RNA (253 nucleotides) under uncultured bacterium. Its description in RNAcentral is "partial 16S ribosomal RNA". It matches the Rfam family "Bacterial small subunit ribosomal RNA", at positions 524 to 776 of the family's 1533-position model. The record is from RNAcentral.
GACGAACCGUGCGAACGUUGUUCGGAAUCACUGGGCUUAAAGGGCGCGUAGGCGGGUCAGCAAGUCCGGGGUGAAAUCUUCCAGCUCAACUGUAAAAGGGCCUUGGAUACUGCUGGUCUUGAGGGAGGUAGGGGCCAGCGGAACUUCUGGUGGAGCGGUGAAAUGCGUAGAUAUCAGAAGGAACGCCGGUGGCGAAAGCGGCGGGCUGGACUUCUUCUGACGCUGAGGCGCGAAAGCUUGGGGAGCAAACGGG